GAUCGCAUAAGGUCGUAAAAGAGCACCAGAUUCCUAAUCUGGGGGUCGCGCGUUCGAAUCGCGCCGGGAUCACCA
This 75-nucleotide transfer RNA is filed under the name Rhizobium esperanzae. RNAcentral describes it as "tRNA-Ser". It matches the Rfam family "tRNA". From Rfam's summary of the family: Transfer RNA (tRNA) molecules are approximately 80 nucleotides in length. Their secondary structure includes four short double-helical elements and three loops (D, anti-codon, and T loops). Lineage: Bacteria; Pseudomonadati; Pseudomonadota; Alphaproteobacteria; Hyphomicrobiales; Rhizobiaceae. The record is from RNAcentral.